AUUGAACGCUGGCGGCAGGCCUAACACAUGCAAGUCGAACGAGUGGCGGAAGGGUGAGUAAUGUCUGGGAAACUGCCCGAUGGAGGGGGAUAACUACUGGAAACGGUAGCUAAUACCGCAUACCAUCAGAUGUGCCCAGAUGGGAUUAGCUAGUAGGUGGGGUAAUGGCUCACCUAGGCGACGAUCCCUAGCUGGUCUGGGAGGAUGACCAGCCACACUGGAACUGAGACACGGCCCAGACUCCUACGGUAGGAAGCAGUGGGGAAUAUUGCACAAUGGGCGCAAGCCUGAUGCAGCCAUGCCGCGUGUGUGAAGAAGGCCGUCGGGUUGUAAAGUACUUUCAGCGAGGAGGCGUUACUCGCAGAAGAAGCACCGGCUAACUCCGUGCCAGCAGCCGCGGUAAUAC
Molecule: ribosomal RNA, 406 nt
Filed under: uncultured bacterium
Lineage: Bacteria
Description: partial 16S ribosomal RNA
Rfam family: Bacterial small subunit ribosomal RNA
Source: RNAcentral